This 448-nucleotide ribosomal RNA is filed under the name uncultured bacterium. RNAcentral's name for it is "bacterial SSU rRNA". It matches the Rfam family "Bacterial small subunit ribosomal RNA", at positions 329 to 794 of the family's 1533-position model. The record is from RNAcentral.
GACCAGACUCCUACGGGAGGCAGCAGUGGGGAAUAUUGCACAAUGGGGGGAACCUUGAUGCAGCAACGCCGCGUGGGUGAAGAAGUACUCCGGUAUGUAAAGCCCUGUCAGCAGGGAAGAAAAUGACGGUACCUGACCAAGAAGCCCCGGCUAACUACGUGCCAGCAGCCGCGGUAAUACGUAGGGGGCAAGCGUUAUCCGGAUUUACUGGGUGUAAAGGGAGCGUAGACGGCCAGACAAGUCAGAAGUGAAAGCCCAGGGCUCAACCCUGGGACUGCUUUUGAAACUGCCGGGCUGGAGUGCAGGAGAGGUAAGCGGAAUUCCUAGUGUAGCGGUGAAAUGCGUAGAUAUUAGGAGGAACACCAGUGGCGAAGGCGGCUUACUGGACUGUAACUGACGUUGAGGCUCGAAAGCGUGGGGAGCAAACAGGAUUAGAUACCCUCGUAAC